UUUACAAGAAAAUCCCAUUCAAGACGACCUUGAUGAAUCCUGUGCAUAAGAGAUCAGCUCUGAUGUCAGACCUCAUAAGAGUCGGAAGCAUCACUGAAGGACAAGCGUUGCGGCGGGCCUCUCACUGCUAAAUUGCAUAAUGGACACCUCGGCUGGUCUGGGCCUUUGGGACGUAGGUCAUCUUACAGUGGCCAGAUGCCGCAUAAAUUAAAUCCAUGAGAGUUAGGAAUGACAUGAGGAUGGCAAUGGAGUUGAAAUGACAUCCAGGCCCGUGUUCUGUCCUCUGAGCAGGUAAAAUCCGCCACAGCUUUAGAGUUAGUCAGUGUGGACGGACGGCCAGUAUCCGUCUUGUCUACCACAGCACUCUGACACUUUGCUCUCUCACCACAUCACAGAAGAAAGUGGCUUUCAAAUCCACAAUCUCUGAGGUGUGCAAAGCCCUUAAUUCUUUACAUGUUUUAAAAUCGGCAGGUCCUGAUAAAUUGGAACCUUACUUUUUUAUUGCUAGCAGCUGAUUUUAUUGCUCCUCCUCUGAUUUAUAUUUUUAUCCUUUCUCUUGUCUUAAAUGGUAUUCCACUUAUAUGGAAAUCAGCUUUUGUUCUUCCCCUGUUUAAAGGCGUACUGUAUAUCCUACAAACCCUAAUAAUUAUUGUCCCGUUUCCAAGCAGUCUGUCCUGGCCAAAGUCCUUGAAAUAUUUGUCAACAAUCAAUUGAAGGACUUUUUUUCAGUUAAUAAUAUCCUGUCUGAUUUUUCAAUCUGGUUUACAACUACGGCAGCCUUAAAAGUUCAAAAUUAUUUUAUUGUAUCUGUUGAUAACAAGAAACAGUGUGCAGCCUUAUGCAUUGAUCUAUCCAAAGUGUUUGAUACUGUUGAUCAUACCUUACUGAUAGAAUGACUCGUCAGUAUUGGAUUAUCUAAACAUGCUAUUGGUUGGUUUAAUAAUCUCUCAAACAGAUCUCAAUGUGU
Cyprinus carpio (common carp) is the source of this 967-nucleotide long non-coding RNA. RefSeq lists it as uncharacterized. The record is from RefSeq and is a predicted model, not a curated record. Lineage: Eukaryota; Metazoa; Chordata; Actinopteri; Cypriniformes; Cyprinidae. The transcript has 3 exons.